GAUGAACGCUGGCGGCGUGCCUAAUACAUGCAAGUCGAGCGAACAGACGAGGAGCUUGCUCCUCUGACGUUAGCGGCGGACGGGUGAGUAACACGUGGAUAACCUACCUAUAAGACUGGGAUAACUUCGGGAAACCGGAGCUAAUACCGGAUAAUAUAUUGAACCGCAUGGUUCAAUAGUGAAAGACGGUUUUGCUGUCACUUAUAGAUGGAUCCGCGUCGCAUUAGCUAGUUGGUAAGGUAACGGCUUACCAAGGCAACGAUGCGUAGCCGACCUGAGAGGGUGAUCGGCCACACUGGAACUGAGACACGGUCCAGACUCCUACGAGAGGCAGCAGUAGGGAAUCUUCCGAAAGGGGCGAAAGCCUGACAGAGCAACGCCGCGUGAGUGAUGAAGGUCUUCGGAUCGUAAAACUCUGUUAUUAGGGAAAAACAAAUGUGUAAGUAACUAUGCACGUCUUGACGAUACCUAAUCAGAAAGCCACGGCUAACUACG
RNAcentral lists this ribosomal RNA (495 nucleotides) under uncultured bacterium. RNAcentral's name for it is "partial 16S ribosomal RNA". It matches the Rfam family "Bacterial small subunit ribosomal RNA", at positions 28 to 505 of the family's 1533-position model. The record is from RNAcentral.